CAAUUGGGCAGGAAGUGGGACAGGAAGUGGGGGGACAGGAAGUGGGGGUUGGGCAGAAAAUGGGGGAUAGGAAAUGGAGGUGGUUGGGCAGAAAGUGGGGGAUAUGAAGUGGGGGUGGUUGGGCUGGAAAUGGGGUGACAGGAGGUGGGAGCAAUUGGGCAGGAAUUGGGACAGGAAGUUGGGGACAGAAAGUGAGGACAGUUGGGCAGGAAGUGGGAGAUAGGAAGUGGGGGCAGUGGAGCAGGAAGUGGGGAGCAAAGAAUAGAGGGGGAUUAAAGGGAGAGGAGGGCCAGAACUCUGGAGGCCCUUGAAGGCUGUAAUGGAAAGAAGCCUAGACUCUGUCAGUUGGGCUUGGAGUAGGUUACUGGCUCCGACGUCCCGUCUGGCAGUGAGAGGACGCAGGAUCACAUGCGGUUGCCAGCCACCUCUGCUCGGAUGAGGGCCGGCUGCCACGCCACGUGUCUCACUGCCGGCCUAAUCGCCCACCAGCCUGCCGGAGCGACCCGGAGGGCUUACUGGCCACGAGCUGGGAACUGGGUUCCGGCAUGGUUCACCCAUCACAGGACAGAUGGCGCCACGUGCUUGGCAGGCAUCCUCGAGGGCGGGCCAUUGACCUCCAGGCUCCCAGUGUGCGGCUUACCCCUCUCAGCCACCCGCCCACCCUCCUCGGCCUGCAGGCAGGAUGCCAGCUUCAGUUUCCAGAGAAGCUGUUGCUUUGUGGAAAUUCUAAGAUUCUCAAGAUGUGCACGCGGCAUUGGGAGUCAUUCGAUCACCGCGGCCAUCGUUACGUGUUUCUCCACAAUCGGCUGUCUGAUGAGCUGCCAGACUUAAACCAUUUGGGUUUCCAGUGCUGAUUUUGGACCUGGAGCAAGUUUCUGUCCAGAGGAUUUGCUCCAAAUGCUGCUUCCUCCACGUUGCUUGCCGAGAAGGCAUCCUGGGCUGUGGGUGCCCCGUGCUGGGCCAGGGGCGGUGUGAGGGAGGUCGUCCUGGAGCCUCUGCUGCCCUGGGCAGGUGAGCAGGACCAGAGUGUCGAUGAUGGCUGUGCACAGGCCGGACAGAGUGGCUCAUGGCAACAGCCCUGGGGCCCCAGGCGGGCGGCAGGGUGGGUGUGCCCAAAGUGCGGCUCGACCCCAGCGUCCUCCAGAUGGAGGCCCCUGCCCUCAUGGGCGGGCGUGCUGAGGCUCCACGCGGUGUACCCUCGGCCAAAACAUCUCCCCAGCCCCUUUGGACAUCAAUUAGGUCAGUCUAGGUGGUUCCCCACUUCUCACGCACUGCUGACAUCUCAGAGUGGGUGAGAUCCCGGGUGUUCCGCAUAGAAAAAGCAAAUGGGACGACGUAGAAUUUUCCAGUUGUCCUUGAGGUUUCUCUCCAAAUGUGCUCUCCCCACAAAGGGCCAGGUGCCUCUCUGUGUCGGCUUGUUGGAUACGUGAGUGGUGUGGGUGUGAAGGGGUCACCACCGUCAGCCGGGUGCCUGUGUCAACAGGCGUAGGGACCCAGCGUCAGCGCGGGCUACCACAGUGGAACACCAACGGGAUACUUGAACACACACACUCCCUUCUGGUCACGGGGCCUGGGAGGGAGUCUGAGACUGAAGGGCAGGAGGGUUCAAGCUGAGGCCUCCGUCCCCGCGGCCUCGUUUCCAAUGGAUCAUCCAUGCCUAAGACAGCAGUGCUCCGGCUUCCUUCUUGCAGCUCCCCCCACAUGUUCAGCUGGAGAUCACCCGCAGAUGCACGAACACGUGGGUGUGUGGGCGUCUCAGGGUUGGAUGUCAUGCCCUGUCCCACACCCACGGCUUCACCUGGCUUAUCUUGAGUCCACCCCGUUUCAGUGA
Molecule: long non-coding RNA, 1831 nt
Organism: Vulpes vulpes (red fox)
Lineage: Eukaryota; Metazoa; Chordata; Mammalia; Carnivora; Canidae
Source: Ensembl